RNAcentral lists this ribosomal RNA (253 nucleotides) under uncultured bacterium. RNAcentral describes it as "partial 16S ribosomal RNA". It matches the Rfam family "Bacterial small subunit ribosomal RNA", at positions 524 to 776 of the family's 1533-position model. The record is from RNAcentral.
UACGAAGGGGGCUAGCGUUGUUCGGAAUCACUGGGCGUAAAGCGCACGUAGGCGGAUCUUUAAGUCAGAGGUGAAAUCCCAAGGCUCAACCUUGGAACUGCCUUUGAUACUGGGGAUCUUGAGUCCGGGAGAGGUGAGUGGAACUGCGAGUGUAGAGGUGAAAUUCGUAGAUAUUCGCAAGAACACCAGUGGCGAAGGCGGCUCACUGGAUCGGCACUGACGCUGAGGUGCGAAAGCGUGGGGAGCGAACAGG